Phrynosoma platyrhinos (Desert horned lizard) is the source of this 74-nucleotide non-coding RNA. The record is from the annotation of a GenBank genome assembly. Lineage: Eukaryota; Metazoa; Chordata; Lepidosauria; Squamata; Phrynosomatidae.
GUUCAAACGUGGCAUAGUGGUUUGAGUGUUAGACUAUGGCUCUUGAGAUCAGGGUUUGAUUCCCAGCUUGGCCA